This 253-nucleotide ribosomal RNA is filed under the name uncultured bacterium. RNAcentral's name for it is "partial 16S ribosomal RNA". It matches the Rfam family "Bacterial small subunit ribosomal RNA", at positions 524 to 776 of the family's 1533-position model. The record is from RNAcentral.
UACGAAGGGUGCAAGCGUUACUCGGAAUUACUGGGCGUAAAGCGCGUGUAGGCGGUCCGGUAAGUCCGCUGUGAAAGUCGGGGGCUCAACCCUCGAAUGCCGGUGGAUACUGUCGGGCUAGAGUGCGGAAGAGGCGAGUGGAAUUCCUGGUGUAGCGGUGAAAUGCGCAGAUAUCAGGAGGAACACCAAUUGCGAAGGCAGCUCGCUGGGACGUUACUGACGCUGAGACGCGAAAGCGUGGGGAGCAAACAGG